GAUGAACGCUGACAGAAUGCUUAACACAUGCAAGUCAACUUGAAUUUGGGUUUUUUAACUUAGAUUUGGGUGGCGGACGGGUGAGUAACGCGUAAAGAACUUGCCUCACAGCUAGGGACAACAUUUGGAAACGAAUGCUAAUACCUGAAAUUAUGAUUAUAAGGCAUCUUAGAAUUAUGAAAGCUAUAUGCGCUGUGAGAGAGCUUUGCGUACCAUUAGCUAGUUGGAGAGGUAACGGCUCACCAAGGCGAUGAUGGGUAGCCGGCCUGAGAGGGUGAACGGCCACAAGGGGACUGAGACACGGCCCUUACUCCUACGGGAGGCAGCAGUGGGGAAUAUUGGACAAUGGACCAAGAGUCUGAUCCAGCAAUUCUGUGUGCACGAUGACGUUUUUCGGAAUGUAAAGUGCUUUCAGUUGGGAAGAAAAAAAUGACGGUACCAACAGAAGAAGUGACGGCUAAAUACGUG
This 468-nucleotide ribosomal RNA is filed under the name uncultured bacterium. Its description in RNAcentral is "partial 16S ribosomal RNA". It matches the Rfam family "Bacterial small subunit ribosomal RNA", at positions 28 to 507 of the family's 1533-position model. The record is from RNAcentral.